AAAAAUCAAAAAAAAAAAAAAAAAAAAAAAAAAU
Molecule: non-coding RNA, 34 nt
Filed under: Lotharella globosa
Lineage: Eukaryota; Cercozoa; Chlorarachniophyceae
Source: RNAcentral